RNAcentral lists this ribosomal RNA (718 nucleotides) under Epimedium acuminatum. Its description in RNAcentral is "eukaryotic LSU rRNA". The stretch from base 279 to 434 matches the Rfam family "5.8S ribosomal RNA". The record is from RNAcentral. RNAcentral also lists the same sequence under 1 other name. Lineage: Eukaryota; Viridiplantae; Streptophyta; Magnoliopsida; Ranunculales; Berberidaceae.
AAGUCGUAACAAGGUUUCCGUAGGUGAACCUGCGGAAGGAUCAUUGUCAAAACCUGCAAAGCAGAACGACCAGCGAACUUGUGAAAAACACUUAUGGGAGGGACGAAGGGUGCUAACCUUGAAUCCUUCCUACUGGGUCACUUGGGACGAUUGUGUCGUGAAAGCGACAACGACGCCCCUCGUUGAUUCAAAUAACAACUCGGCGCGGUCUGCGCCAAGGAAAAUCUUAACGGAUAGAGCACGUCUUCAUGACGAUGUUGUAAUUCCGAUCUUAUAACGACUCUCGGCAAUGGAUAUCUCGGCUCUCGCAUCGAUGAAGAACGUAGCGAAAUGCGAUACUUGGUGUGAAUUGCAGAAUCCCGUGAACCAUCGAGUCUUUGAACGCAAGUUGCGCCCAAGGCCAUUAGGUCGAGGGCACGUCUGCCUGGGCGUCACGCACAGCGUCGCUCCCACCAUGAUGCCUUUGUUCUGUUAUCGGGCAACUGCAACGUGGCUUGGGAAGCGGAUAUUGGCCCCCCGUACCUUUGUAGGCGCGGCCGGCCUAAAAUUCGGCCCUCGGCGACGAGCGUCACGAUCAGUGGUGGUUGAAUAACCCCUUUGUCAUAGACCGGUAUCGUGUUGUUUCGUCGUCUAUUUGGGCCAUAUGGACCCUUGCGUGUCGUAUAAACGACAUUCACUCUGCGACCCCAGGUCAGGCGGGACUACCCGCUGAGUUUAA